AUGCUCGGUAUAUUUAGAACCUUCAUUGCACAGAAUGUUUUCAAGGGAUUACGUUGUUACGAAAAUUCAAGAUGCCGGUAUAUUCUUCAUAAUUUACUUACUUUUACCACACGAUGGAAUUUGCACUACAUGUAAACCUGACUACCCUUAUCAAGGUCCGUGUAAUGCCACUAAGCCGGGAUGGACAUAUAAUGCAUCAUGUCAUGAAUGUGAUGGACACAUACAUGGAUGCGAUGGUCUUCUAAACGUGUUUCACAGCUGCUUUAUGUGUGCCAUUCAAUGUCAUGUUGGAGGUUAUCCAGACGAUUACUGCCCGCCAAGAUGGCGCGCACUUGAAUAAACACCCAGAAGAUCCUAAAGAAUACAGCAUUUGUGAGGAAAUGUCGGACCAUGACAUUUGCUGUAACGAAUAAAUCUCUAAAUUCAAUCAUUUCGUUGAACAUGGAGCCGAUUUGGGAGCAUGAACUGUUUUAUGCAUUGUACUUAGGUUACGGUAGUACAAGUGCAGAUUGUAAGACAGAUUAUUACAAAAUUCAGCAUGAAUAUUCAUUGCUAAUAUCGCAGUGGGCUCAGUAAAGAAAUUGCGCCUAUAAAUAAACCUGAAUAGGGCCUCCCGUAAAAAAUUGAAGGCUUUCUCAUGCUACACAUGAGGACAAAUUAUCAGAAAGCAUCUGUGCUGUCGUUCUUAAUGAAUAU
This is a long non-coding RNA of Dermacentor silvarum, 696 nucleotides long. RefSeq lists it as uncharacterized. The record is from RefSeq and is a predicted model, not a curated record. The transcript has 3 exons. NCBI's taxonomy places the organism in Eukaryota, Metazoa, Arthropoda, Arachnida, Ixodida, Ixodidae.